UACGGGGGGAGCAAACGUUGUUCGGAAUCACUGGGCUUAAAGGGCGCGUAGGCGGGUGCUCAAGUCCGGGGUGAAAUCCUCCAGCUCAACUGGAGAACUGCCUCGGAUACUGGGUGCCUCGAGGGUGGUAGGGGUAUGCGGAACUAUCGGUGGAGCGGUGAAAUGCGUUGAUAUCGAUAGGAACUCCGGUGGCGAAGGCGGCAUACUGGACCACAUCUGACGCUGAGGCGCGAAAGCCAGGGGAGCAAACGGG
RNAcentral lists this ribosomal RNA (253 nucleotides) under uncultured bacterium. Its description in RNAcentral is "partial 16S ribosomal RNA". It matches the Rfam family "Bacterial small subunit ribosomal RNA", at positions 524 to 776 of the family's 1533-position model. The record is from RNAcentral.